This 87-nucleotide transfer RNA is filed under the name Anaerolineae bacterium. RNAcentral's name for it is "tRNA-Ser". It matches the Rfam family "tRNA". From Rfam's summary of the family: Transfer RNA (tRNA) molecules are approximately 80 nucleotides in length. Their secondary structure includes four short double-helical elements and three loops (D, anti-codon, and T loops). Lineage: Bacteria; Bacillati; Chloroflexota; Anaerolineae. The record is from RNAcentral. RNAcentral also lists the same sequence under 1 other name.
GGAGGGAUGGCCGAGUGGACGAAGGCGGCGGUCUUGAAAACCGCUGUGGGGUCACACCCACCGUGGGUUCGAAUCCCACUCCCUCCG